Molecule: ribosomal RNA, 494 nt
Filed under: uncultured bacterium
Lineage: Bacteria
Description: partial 16S ribosomal RNA
Rfam family: Bacterial small subunit ribosomal RNA
Source: RNAcentral
GACGAACGCUGGCGGCGUGCUUAACACAUGCAAGUCGAACGGAAAGGCCUGCUUUCCCUUGUGGAUUGCGGGUACUCGAGUGGCGAACGGGUGAGUAACACGUGAGUGAUCUGCCCCCAACUUGGGUAUAAGCCUGGGAAACUGGGUCUAAUUCCCGAUAGGACUGCAGGGUGGUGCCUGUGGUGGAAAACGAUUUUCUAGUGGCUGGGGAUGAGCUCGCGGCCUAUCAGCUUGUUGGUGGGGUAAUGGCCUACCAAGGCGGCGACGGGUAGCCGGCCUGAGAGGGUGGACGGCCACAUUGGGACUGAGAUACGGCCCAGACUCCUACGGGAGGCAGCAGUGGGGAAUAUUGCACAAUGGGCGGAAGCCUGAUGCAGCGACGCCGCGUGGGGGAUGACGGCCUUCGGGUUGUAAACUCCUUUCGACCGCGAGGAAGCCACCUGGUUGGAAGGGUGGUGACGGUAGUGGUAGAAGAAGCACCGGCUAACUACGUG